GAUGAAGAACGUAGCGAAAUGCGAUAAGUAAUGUGAAUUGCAGAAUUCAGUGAAUCAUCGAGUCUUUGAACGCACAUUGCGCCCCCUGGUAUUCCGGGGGGCAUGCCUGUCCGAGCGUCAUUGCUGCCCUCAAGCACGGCUUGUGUGUUGGGCCCCCGUCCCCGGUUUCCCCCGGGGACGGGCCCGAAAGGCAGCGGCGGCACCGCGUCCGGUCCUCGAGCGUAUGGGGCUUUAUCACCCGCUCUGUAGGCCCGGCCGGCGCCAGCCGACACCCAACUUUAUUUCUAAGGUUGACCUCGGAUCAGGUAGGGAUACCCGCUGAACUUAAGCAUAUCAAUAAGCGGAGGA
Molecule: unclassified non-coding RNA, 348 nt
Filed under: soil metagenome
Description: partial contains 5.8S ribosomal RNA, internal transcribed spacer 2, and large subunit ribosomal RNA
Rfam family: 5.8S ribosomal RNA (bases 1-120)
Source: RNAcentral